UUGAAGAUCUGAUAACAUUCAGUAUGAAAAAUAUGCCAAAGUAGAGAAAAUUAGAAAGGGGGCAAAUCAUUUUUCACAGCACUGUACAUCUGAUGUGCAUAAUUCUUAUGGCCAGUGAUGGUGAAAUGCAGUGGGAUCAUAAAGCAUAAAUAACAGUUUUAAAGUAUUAAUUACACAGCUAAUUUAACGACUAAUUUCCCAUGUAGGCCGCUAGCAGAGUCCUGGAGACAGGAAUGAACUCAUUACAGAGGACCCUUGUCUUGAAGAAGCAGGUGGAGGUGGAUGAAGUGGAUUGUCAGCUGGCACAGAAACAGCAGGAAUUCAAAGCCCUUGCACAGAGGGCAGGGCUAUAGCUGAAACAGAAGGCGGUUUAUGAUCUCAACUGCGCCGGCAGGCCCUGAAGAAGUACCAGGCAGAGAGGAAGCAGAACGAUCUGAAACAGAAAGAGGAGCUCACUGAAAAGCUGGAGAGACAUUGGACAUAUCCAUCUUCUCACCUGAAAUCUUGGACUCUCUUUACCUGACAUAUUUUCCCCCAACCCCUACAGGCAGCAGUAUUUAAAGGAUAAGGUGACCAAGCACAAAAUGUACGAAGACUACAUGAUGAACAUUUCCUCCCAGAGACUGAGAAUGUAGAUCACCUGGAGUAAGGGGCAGACUCCCUGGUGAUGCCCAUCAUCCAUCGCCUUGAGACCCUGUCCCUCACCCAUCAGGAUCUGGUGGAGCACCUGGGCCAGCUGGUGGAGGAGCUGGAGCAGGGCCAGCACAGCCUGGACAGUCUGAAGCAGGAGCACAACACCAACAAGCUGAUGAGAUGAGGAACAGAGAACUGUCUGAACUGUUUACCCAGCGGGAUAUAGCCAAGGAGAAAAACAAACAGACUGAGAUUAACCAAGGCCAGUCCUGAGACCAGGUUGAGGAAAUGGGUAGCUUGCUUAUAGCUGUGAAAAACAUUGCAGAACAGUGCUACUUACACCACUAUGGGCCUCUGGAAGAAAUGGACAUGCUGACAAUGAUGGAUAUGGUAAAGGAAUACAUUCAGGAGAGGGCAGACAGAGAAGAGAGCAACAUGACUGAUAGACGAGCGCCAGAGAACAGAGGAUCACUGAAAAACAUUAACAGUACUUUACAUUUGUAUUUAAGGUUGUUGUAAUACUGUUAUAAUAGUAUAGUUUGUGGUGAUUAGUUGCUGAUGAAGGAAAUUGUUGGGGUUAUAACAUGCAGUUGUACAUGCAUUACUCAUAUACCCUAAUCAAAGAUUGAUGUUCAAAAAUUGUUAGGAUGAAUUCAAAUGUUCAUUAGUUUGCUUUAUUCAUUAAAAAAAUAUUACAAAUGUUUAUCUGACAAAAUGUCUUUGAACCAGUCUCUUUGAAAUUAAUAAAAACAAA
Molecule: long non-coding RNA, 1387 nt
Organism: Salmo salar (Atlantic salmon)
Lineage: Eukaryota; Metazoa; Chordata; Actinopteri; Salmoniformes; Salmonidae
Source: RefSeq, a predicted model, not a curated record